UACGAAGGGGGCUAGCGUUGUUCGGAAUCACUGGGCGUAAAGCGCGCGUAGGCGGACUGGUAAGUCAGGGGUGAAAUCCCGGGGCUCAACCUCGGAAUGGCCUUUGAUACUGUCAGUCUAGAGUCCGGGAGAGGUGAGUGGAAUUCCUAGUGUAGAGGUGAAAUUCGUAGAUAUUAGGAAGAACACCAGUGGCGAAGGCGGCUCACUGGCCCGGAACUGACGCUCAGGUGCGAAAGCGUGGGGAGCAAACAGG
Molecule: ribosomal RNA, 253 nt
Filed under: uncultured bacterium
Lineage: Bacteria
Description: partial 16S ribosomal RNA
Rfam family: Bacterial small subunit ribosomal RNA
Source: RNAcentral